RNAcentral lists this ribosomal RNA (465 nucleotides) under uncultured bacterium. RNAcentral describes it as "partial 16S ribosomal RNA". It matches the Rfam family "Bacterial small subunit ribosomal RNA", at positions 338 to 795 of the family's 1533-position model. The record is from RNAcentral.
CCUACGGGAGACAGCAGUAGGGAAUCUUCCACAAUGGGCGAAAGCCUGAUGGAGCAACGCCGCGUGGGUGAAGAAGGUCUUCGGAUCGUAAAACCCUGUUGUUAGAGAAGAAAGUGCGUGAGAGUAACUGUUCACGUUUCGACGGUAUCUAACCAGAAAGCCACGGCUAACUACGUGCCAGCAGCCGCGGUAAUACGUAGGUGGCAAGCGUUAUCCGGAUUUAUUUGGCGUAAAGGGAACGCAGGCGGUCUUUUAAGUCUGAUGUGAAAGCCUUCGGCUUAACCGGAGUAGUGCAUUGGAAACUGGGAGACUUGAGUGCAGAAGAGGAGAGUGGAACUCCAUGUGUAGCGGUGAAAUGCGUAGAUAUAUGGAAGAACACCAGUGGCGAAAGCGGCUCUCUGGUCUGUAACUGACGCUGAGGUUCGAAAGCGUGGGUAGCAAACAGGAUUAGAUACCCUAGUAGUC